Molecule: ribosomal RNA, 253 nt
Filed under: uncultured bacterium
Lineage: Bacteria
Description: partial 16S ribosomal RNA
Rfam family: Bacterial small subunit ribosomal RNA
Source: RNAcentral
UACGGGGGGGGCAAGCGUUGUUCGGAAUUACUGGGCGUAAAGGGCGCGUAGGCGGCCUUCUAAGUCGGACGUGAAAUCCCUCGGCUUAACCGAGGAACUGCGUCCGAUACUGAAAGGCUUGAAUCCGGGAGAGGGAUGUGGAAUUCCAGGUGUAGCGGUGAAAUGCGUAGAUAUCUGGAGGAACACCGGUGGCGAAGGCGGCAUCCUGGACCGACACUGACGCUGAGGCGCGAAAGCUAGGGUAGCAAACGGG